GGGGGUGUAGCUCAUUUGGUAGAGCGCUCGCUUUGCAUGUGAGAGGCACUGGGUUUAAUUCCCUGCACCUCCA
This 73-nucleotide transfer RNA is filed under the name Ipomoea nil (Japanese morning glory). It matches the Rfam family "tRNA". Rfam says of the family: Transfer RNA (tRNA) molecules are approximately 80 nucleotides in length. Their secondary structure includes four short double-helical elements and three loops (D, anti-codon, and T loops). Further hydrogen bonds mediate the characteristic L-shaped molecular structure. tRNAs have two regions of fundamental functional importance: the anti-codon, which is responsible for specific mRNA codon recognition, and the 3' end, to which the tRNAs corresponding amino acid is attached (by aminoacyl-tRNA synthetases). tRNAs cope with the degeneracy of the genetic code in two manners: having more than one tRNA (with a specific anti-codon) for a particular amino acid; and 'wobble' base-pairing, i.e. permitting non-standard base-pairing at the 3rd anti-codon position. Lineage: Eukaryota; Viridiplantae; Streptophyta; Magnoliopsida; Solanales; Convolvulaceae. The record is from Rfam by way of RNAcentral.